UACGUAGGGGGCAAGCGUUGUCCGGAAUCAUUGGGCGUAAAGAGCGUGUAGGCGGCCCGAUAAGUCCGCUGUGAAAGUCCAGGGCUCAACCCUGGGAUGCCGGUGGAUACUGUCGGGCUCGAGUCCGGAAGAGGAGUGUGGAAUUCCUGGUGUAGCGGUGAAAUGCGCAGAUAUCCGGAGGAACACCAGUGGCGAAGGCGACACGCUGGGCCGUACCUGACACUGAACCGCGACAGCAUGGGGAGCAAACAGG
Molecule: ribosomal RNA, 253 nt
Filed under: uncultured bacterium
Lineage: Bacteria
Description: partial 16S ribosomal RNA
Rfam family: Bacterial small subunit ribosomal RNA
Source: RNAcentral